Molecule: ribosomal RNA, 937 nt
Filed under: Weissella minor
Lineage: Bacteria; Bacillati; Bacillota; Bacilli; Lactobacillales; Lactobacillaceae
Description: bacterial SSU rRNA
Rfam family: Bacterial small subunit ribosomal RNA
Source: RNAcentral
AGUCGAACGCUUUGUGGUUCAACUGAUAUGAAGAGCUUGCUCGGAUUUGAAGAUGAACAUUGCAAAGAGUGGCGAACGGGUGAGUAACACGUGGGAAACCUACCUCUUAGCGGGGGAUAACACUUGGAAACAAGUGCUAAUACCGCAUAAUACUGAUAACCGCAUGGUUAUCAGUUGAAAGAUGGUUCUGCUAUCACUAAGAGAUGGUCCCGCGGUGUAUUAGCUAGUUGGUAAGGUAAUGGCUUACCAAGGCAAUGAUACAUAGCCGAGUUGAGAGACUGAUCGGCCACAAUGGGACUGAGACACGGCCCAUACUCCUACGGGAGGCAGCAGUAGGGAAUCUUCCACAAUGGACGAAAGUCUGAUGGAGCAACGCCGCGUGUGUGAUGAAGGGUUUCGGCUCGUAAAACACUGUUGUAAGAGAAGAAUGACAUUGAGAGUAACUGUUCAGUGUGUGACGGUAUCUUACCAGAAAGGAACGGCUAAAUACGUGCCAGCAGCCGCGGUAAUACGUAUGUUCCAAGCGUUAUCCGGAUUUAUUGGGCGUAAAGCGAGCGCAGACGGUUGUUUAAGUCUGAAGUGAAAGCCCACAGCUUAACUGUGGAAGUGCUUUGGAAACUGGAUAACUUGAGUGCAGUAGAGGAGAGUGGAACUCCAUGUGUAGCGGUGAAAUGCGUAGAUAUAUGGAAGAACACCAGUGGCGAAGGCGGCUCUCUGGACUGUAACUGACGUUGAGGCUCGAAAGUGUGGGUAGCAAACAGGAUUAGAUACCCUGGUAGUCCACACCGUAAACGAUGAGUGCUAGAUGUUUGAGGGUUUCCGCCCUUAAGUGUCGCAGCUAACGCAUUAAGCACUCCGCCUGGGGAGUACGACCGCAAGGUUGAACUCAAAGGAAUUGACGGGGACCCGCACAGCGGUGGAGCAUGUGGUUUAUUCG